AACGAACGCUGGCGGCGUGGAUAAGACAUGCAAGUCGAACGGGAUUAUUUUUGUAGCAAUACAGAAAUAAUUUAGUGGCGAACGGGUGCGUAACACGUGGGCAAUCUGCCGAAAAGUGGGGGAUAGCUCGCCGAAAGGCGAAUUAAUACCGCAUGUGGUGAGGGACGACAUCUUCCUGAAUCCAAAGCCGGGGUCAAACCUGGCGCUUUUUGAGGAGCCCGCGGCCUAUCAGCUAGUUGGGAGGUAACGGCUCACCAAGGCUAUGACGGGUAGCUGGUCUGAGAGGACGACCAGUCACACUGGAACUGAGACACGGUCCAGACACCUACGGGUGGCAGCAGUCGAGAAUUUUUCUCAAUGGGGGCAACCCUGAAGGAGCGACGCCGCGUGGAGGAUGAAGG
RNAcentral lists this ribosomal RNA (401 nucleotides) under uncultured bacterium. RNAcentral's name for it is "bacterial SSU rRNA". It matches the Rfam family "Bacterial small subunit ribosomal RNA", at positions 29 to 414 of the family's 1533-position model. The record is from RNAcentral.